This 270-nucleotide long non-coding RNA is filed under the name Lathyrus oleraceus (garden pea). RNAcentral's name for it is "Pisum sativum (pea) long non-coding RNA (PSAT_LNC018993)". The record is from RNAcentral. Lineage: Eukaryota; Viridiplantae; Streptophyta; Magnoliopsida; Fabales; Fabaceae.
UUUCUUCAAAAGAAACACCUUAGACUUGUCAUCUACACAACUUUCAUAUUUUUCCAUGUAAAUAGUCUCUUCAAGGUCUCCAUGUAAAAAGUGGUCUUAACGUUCAUUUGCUUCAGUUCAAGAUUACAUUGAUUCACAAUAGUCAUAAAAGCCCUUAUGAAAAAAUGAUUCAUCAUAAGUGAAAAGAUUUAUAUCCUUUGGCCACAACUAAAGCAUAACAAAUAAGAUCAAUUUAAUCAUAUCUCUGAGGUGGUAUCAUAUCCAUUGUCA